GGUCGGUUAGCUCAGUUGGUUAGAGCGUGGUGCUAAUAUCCUACUGUUAACGCCAAGGUCGCGGGUUCGACCCCCGUACUGACCA
RNAcentral lists this transfer RNA (85 nucleotides) under Didymosphaeria variabile. It matches the Rfam family "tRNA". From Rfam's summary of the family: Transfer RNA (tRNA) molecules are approximately 80 nucleotides in length. The record is from Rfam by way of RNAcentral. Lineage: Eukaryota; Fungi; Ascomycota; Dothideomycetes; Pleosporales; Didymosphaeriaceae.